GACGAACGCUGGCGGCGCGCCUAACACAUGCAAGUCGAACGAGAGAUGAGGAGCUUGCUCUUCAAAUCGAGUGGCGAACGGGUGAGUAACGCGUGAGGAACCUGCCUCAAAGAGGGGGACAACAGUUGGAAACGACUGCUAAUACCGCAUAAGCCCACGGCUCGGCAUCGAGCAGAGGGAAAAGGAGCAAUCCGCUUUGAGAUGGCCUCGCGUCCGAUUAGCUGGUUGGUGAGGUAACGGCCCACCAAGGCGACGAUCGGUAGCCGGACUGAGAGGUUGAACGGCCACAUUGGGACUGAGACACGGCCCAGACUCCUACGGGAGGCAGCAGUGGGGAAUAUUGCACAAUGGGGGAAACCCUGAUGCAGCGACGCCGCGUGGAGGAAGAAGGUCUUCGGAUUGUAAACUCCUGUUGUUGAGGAAGAUAAUGACG
This 433-nucleotide ribosomal RNA is filed under the name uncultured bacterium. RNAcentral describes it as "bacterial SSU rRNA". It matches the Rfam family "Bacterial small subunit ribosomal RNA", at positions 28 to 456 of the family's 1533-position model. The record is from RNAcentral.